RNAcentral lists this ribosomal RNA (301 nucleotides) under uncultured bacterium. RNAcentral's name for it is "partial 16S ribosomal RNA". It matches the Rfam family "Bacterial small subunit ribosomal RNA", at positions 509 to 808 of the family's 1533-position model. The record is from RNAcentral.
CAGUAGCGCGGUAAUACGAAGGGUGCAAGCGUUACUCGGAAUUACUGGGCGUAAAGCGUGCGUAGGUGGUGGUUUAAGUCCGUUGUGAAAGCCCUGGGCUCAACCUGGGAAUUGCAGUGGAUACUGGGUCACUAGAGUGUGGUAGAGGAUAGUGGAAUUUCCGGUGUAGCAGUGAAAUGCGUAGAGAUCGGAAGGAACAUCUGUGGCGAAGGCGACUAUCUGGGCCAACACUGACACUGAGGCACGAAAGCGUGGGGAGCAAACAGGAUUAGAUACCCGCGUAGUCCCUGUCUCUUAUACA